Long non-coding RNA from Octopus sinensis (East Asian common octopus), 143 nucleotides. RefSeq lists it as uncharacterized. NCBI's taxonomy places the organism in Eukaryota, Metazoa, Mollusca, Cephalopoda, Octopoda, Octopodidae. The record is from RefSeq and is a predicted model, not a curated record. The transcript is spliced from 3 exons.
GAGAGGAAGCUGGUAUGCAUGGGUGACUGUUGGUCAUCCAUAAACAGCCUUGCCCUGACUUGUGCCUCGGAGGGUAACUUUCUAGAUGCAGUCCUAUGGUCAUCCAUGACCGAAGGGUGGGGGGGCUUUACUCUUUACUCUUU